This 206-nucleotide ribosomal RNA is filed under the name uncultured bacterium. RNAcentral describes it as "partial 16S ribosomal RNA". It matches the Rfam family "Bacterial small subunit ribosomal RNA", at positions 1295 to 1500 of the family's 1533-position model. The record is from RNAcentral.
GGAUUGUAGUCUGCAACUCGACUACAUGAAGCUGGAAUCGCUAGUAAUCGCAGAUCAGAAUGCUGCGGUGAAUACGUUCCCGGGUCUUGUACACACCGCCCGUCACACCAUGGGAGUUGGGAAUGCCCGAAGCCGGUGACCUAACCGAAAGGGAGGAGCCGUCGAAGGCAGGCUUGAUAACUGGGGUGAAGUCGUAACAAGGUACC